AGCGAACGCUGGCGGCAGGCCUAACACGUGCAAGUCGAACGAACUCUUCGGAGUUAGUGGCGGACGGGUGAGUAACACGUGGGAACGUGCCUUUAGGUUCGGAAUAACUCAGGGAAACUUGUGCUAAUACCGAAUGUGCCCUUCGGGGGAAAGAUUUAUCGCCUUUAGAGCGGCCCGCGUCUGAUUAGCUAGUUGGUGAGGUAAAGGCUCACCAAGGCGACGAUCAGUAGCUGGUCUGAGAGGAUGAUCAGCCACAUUGGGACUGAGACACGGCCCAAACUCCUACGGGAGGCAGCAGUGGGGAAUCUUGCGCAAUGGGCGAAAGCCUGACGCAGCCAUGCCGCGUGAAUGAUGAAGGUCUUAGGAUUGUAAAAUUCUUUCACCGGGGACGAAAAUGACGGUACCCGGAGAAGAAGCCCCGGCUAACUUCGUGCCAGCAGCCGCCGUAA
This 449-nucleotide ribosomal RNA is filed under the name uncultured bacterium. RNAcentral's name for it is "partial 16S ribosomal RNA". It matches the Rfam family "Bacterial small subunit ribosomal RNA", at positions 29 to 523 of the family's 1533-position model. The record is from RNAcentral.